UACGUAGGGUCCAAGCGUUGUCCGGAUUUAUUGGGCGUAAAGAGCUCGUAGGCGGUUUGUCGCGUCUGCUGUGAAAAUCCAGGGCUUAACCCUGGACCUGCAGUGGGUACGGGCAGACUAGAGUGCGGUAGGGGAGAUCGGAAUUCCUGGUGUAGCGGUGAAAUGCGCAGAUAUCAGGAGGAACACCGGUGGCGAAGGCGGAUCUCUGGGCCGUAACUGACGCUGAGGAGCGAAAGCAUGGGGAGCGAACAGG
This 253-nucleotide ribosomal RNA is filed under the name uncultured bacterium. RNAcentral describes it as "partial 16S ribosomal RNA". It matches the Rfam family "Bacterial small subunit ribosomal RNA", at positions 524 to 776 of the family's 1533-position model. The record is from RNAcentral.